UACGGGGGGUGCGAGCGUUGUCCGGAAUCACUGGGCGUAAAGGGCGCGUAGGUGGUUUGAUAAGGGUGUGGUGAAAGCCCGGGGCUCAACCCCGGGUCUGCCGUGCCGACUGUCAAACUCGAGGGCUGUAGAGGCAGACGGAAUUCCGGGUGUAGCGGUGGAAUGCGUAGAGAUCAGGAGGAACACCGGUGGCGAAGGCGGGUCUCUGGGCCGAUACUGACGCUGAGGAGCGAAAGCGUGGGGAGCGAACAGG
This 253-nucleotide ribosomal RNA is filed under the name uncultured bacterium. RNAcentral's name for it is "partial 16S ribosomal RNA". It matches the Rfam family "Bacterial small subunit ribosomal RNA", at positions 524 to 776 of the family's 1533-position model. The record is from RNAcentral.